CACUAUGAACUCCGAGGGGGUGUUUGCCAACUCAGUUUUCAUGACUUGAACUUUCCAGACUCAUUACGCUUCUGGUGGUUUAAAAUAAAAGCAUGGACGGUCUUCUUGACUCAUCCGCACGCAAAAGUGUAAUACGAGCUGUCAAAGGCUUCAUUCACUUCUUGCUAGGACGUCAGAUGUAUCGAUUUAAUCCAUGGUCGCAGGAAAUCUGGGGACUACGCAAGUAGAACCUAUCCAUA
Molecule: unclassified non-coding RNA, 239 nt
Filed under: Bifiguratus adelaidae
Lineage: Eukaryota; Fungi; Mucoromycota; Endogonomycetes; Endogonales
Description: partial internal transcribed spacer 2
Source: RNAcentral